UGCACGGUGGCUUAGUGGUUAGCACGUUCGCCUCACACCUCUAGGGUCUGGGGUUCGAUACCCGCCGGGGCCC
Ameiurus melas (black bullhead) is the source of this 73-nucleotide non-coding RNA. The record is from the annotation of a GenBank genome assembly. Lineage: Eukaryota; Metazoa; Chordata; Actinopteri; Siluriformes; Ictaluridae.